UUGGAGGGCAAGUCUGGUGCCAGCAGCCGCGGUAAUUCCAGCUCCAAUAGCGUAUAUUAAAGUUGUUGCAGUUAAAAAGCUCGUAGUUGAAUUUUAGGCCUGGCCGGGCGGUCCGUCUUUGGCGAGUACUGUCUGUUGUCGGGUCUUCCUUCUGGUGAACCAGUAUGUCCUUUAUUGGGUGUGUUGGGGAGCCAGGACCAUUACCUUGAAAAAAUUAGAGUGUUUAAAGCGGGCUAUUGCCUGAAUAGAUUAGCAUGGAAUAAUGAAAUAGGACGGCAUGGUUCUAUUUUGUUGGUUUCUAGGAUCACCGUAAUGAUUAAUAGGGAUAGUUGGGGGCAUUAGUAUUCAAUUGUCAGAGGUGAAAUUCUUGGAUUUAUUGAAGACUAACUUCUGCGAAAGCAUUUGCCAAGGAUGUUUUCAUUAAUCAAGAACGAAAGUUAGGGGAUCGAAGACGAUCAGAUACCGUCGUAGUCUUAACCAUAAACUAUGCCGACUAGGGAUCGGAUGAUGUUAAUUUUUUAAUGACUCAUUCGGCGCCUUACGGGAAAC
Molecule: ribosomal RNA, 549 nt
Filed under: uncultured Archaeospora
Lineage: Eukaryota; Fungi; Glomeromycota; Glomeromycetes; Archaeosporales; Archaeosporaceae
Description: SSU rRNA
Rfam family: Eukaryotic small subunit ribosomal RNA
Source: RNAcentral